This is a long non-coding RNA of Thunnus maccoyii (southern bluefin tuna), 459 nucleotides long. RefSeq lists it as uncharacterized. The record is from RefSeq and is a predicted model, not a curated record. The transcript is spliced from 3 exons. NCBI's taxonomy places the organism in Eukaryota, Metazoa, Chordata, Actinopteri, Scombriformes, Scombridae.
UACCGCUUUUCACUAUUGUUCUGCCCCAGGCUUUUGAGUUCUUUUAGCAGUGUUUUAGCACCUCCUAGUGGUGGGUUUGUUUGAACAGGAAGUAACCUGUCUGUACAGGAAAAAGUUCUCAUGUGAUCUGAAAUCAGCCUUUUCUUCUCAAGCAGACUGAGGAGCUGACACGUAUCUCAUCUGCUGCCAUCCCUUUGUUUAAGCUUGUGAAAGCAUCAUCUUUUCACUCUUGACUCAUGAAUGCAUGUACAACACCAUCUUAUUAAAGACACAAACAAAUGACAGAUGAAGAUCAUCACACUGGAAAGUCCCCUCUGAUAGAUACAUCUGUUGAUAUGGUUGGUACUUUUCCUCAUGACUAUAUGCAUCUUGUGUGUCUUGGGGUAAUGCAGAGACUUUUGGAUCUUUGGUUAAGUUCAGGGCCACUCUGUGUUUCUUUCUCCUCCCGGCAGGGUCAAG